Molecule: ribosomal RNA, 508 nt
Filed under: uncultured bacterium
Lineage: Bacteria
Description: bacterial SSU rRNA
Rfam family: Bacterial small subunit ribosomal RNA
Source: RNAcentral
AGAGUUUGAUCAUGGCUCAGGAUGAACGCUGGCGGCGUGCUUAACACAUGCAAGUCGAACGGUGAAGCAGGAGCUUGCUCUUGUGGAUCAGUGGCGAACGGGUGAGUAACACGUGAGCAACCUGCCCCUGACUCUGGGAUAAGCGCUGGAAACGGCGUCUAAUACUGGAUAUGUGACGUGACCGCAUGGUCUGCGUUUGGAAAGAUUUUUCGGUUGGGGAUGGGCUCGCGGCCUAUCAGCUUGUUGGUGAGGUAAUGGCUCACCAAGGCGUCGACGGGUAGCCGGCCUGAGAGGGUGACCGGCCACACUGGGACUGAGACACGGCCCAGACUCCUACGGGAGGCAGCAGUGGGGAAUAUUGCACAAUGGGCGAAAGCCUGAUGCAGCAACGCCGCGUGAGGGAUGACGGCCUUCGGGUUGUAAACCUCUUUUAGCAGGGAAGAAGCGAAAGUGACGGUACCUGCAGAAAAAGCGCCGGCUAACUACGUGCCAGCCGCCGCGGUAAUAC